UAGCCCCAGCACUGCAGAGGUCAGCCUGA
RNAcentral lists this non-coding RNA (29 nucleotides) under Mus musculus (house mouse). Lineage: Eukaryota; Metazoa; Chordata; Mammalia; Rodentia; Muridae. The record is from RNAcentral.